Molecule: transfer RNA, 75 nt
Filed under: Ancalomicrobiaceae bacterium
Lineage: Bacteria; Pseudomonadati; Pseudomonadota; Alphaproteobacteria; Hyphomicrobiales; Ancalomicrobiaceae
Description: tRNA-Gln
Rfam family: tRNA
About the family: Transfer RNA (tRNA) molecules are approximately 80 nucleotides in length. Their secondary structure includes four short double-helical elements and three loops (D, anti-codon, and T loops).
Source: RNAcentral
UGGGGCGUCGCCAAGCGGUAAGGCAGCGGAUUUUGAUUCCGCCAUUCGGAGGUUCGAUCCCUCCCGCCCCAUCCA